This 77-nucleotide small RNA is filed under the name Xanthomonas campestris. RNAcentral's name for it is "sRNA sX9". It matches the Rfam family "Xanthomonas sRNA sX9". Lineage: Bacteria; Pseudomonadati; Pseudomonadota; Gammaproteobacteria; Lysobacterales; Lysobacteraceae. The record is from RNAcentral. RNAcentral also lists the same sequence under 2 other names.
AUGUGCCGCUCGUACGCUCUGAUUCUGAGCACUUAGUCCAUAACCACCUGACGAUUGUUCGCCCCGUUUUGUCAGCC